RNAcentral lists this ribosomal RNA (403 nucleotides) under Fusobacteriota bacterium. Its description in RNAcentral is "Fusobacteria bacterium partial 16S ribosomal RNA". It matches the Rfam family "Bacterial small subunit ribosomal RNA", at positions 355 to 776 of the family's 1533-position model. The record is from RNAcentral. Lineage: Bacteria; Fusobacteriati; Fusobacteriota.
UGGGGAAUAUUGCACAAUGGAGGGAACUCUGAUGCAGCGACGCCGCGUGAGUGAUGAAGGACUUCGUUUCGUAAAACUCUGUUCUAUGGGAAGAAAAGGACUGUACCAUAGGAGAAAGCUCCGGCUAAAUACGUGCCAGCAGCCGCGGUAAUACGUAUGGAGCGAGCGUUGUCCGGAAUUAUUGGGCGUAAAGGGUGCGCAGGCGGCUUACAAGUUGGAUGUGAAAUAUUGUGGCUCAACCACAAACGUGCAUCCAAAACUGCAAAGCUUGAGUUAAGGAGAGGUAAGUGGAAUUCCUGGUGUAGCGGUGGAAUGCGUAGAUAUCAGGAGGAAUACCGGUGGCGAAGGCGACUUACUGGACUUAAACUGACGCUCAGGCACGAAAGCGUGGGGAGCAAACAGG